This 497-nucleotide ribosomal RNA is filed under the name uncultured bacterium. RNAcentral describes it as "partial 16S ribosomal RNA". It matches the Rfam family "Bacterial small subunit ribosomal RNA", at positions 28 to 507 of the family's 1533-position model. The record is from RNAcentral.
GAUGAACGCUGGCGGCGUGCCUAAUACAUGCAAGUCGAGCGAACGGACGAGAAGCUUGCUUCUCUGAUGUUAGCGGCGGACGGGUGAGUAACACGUGGAUAACCUACCUAUAAGACUGGGAUAACUUCGGGAAACCGGAGCUAAUACCGGAUAAUAUUUUGAACCGCAUGGUUCAAAAGUGAAAGACGGUCUUGCUGUCACUUAUAGAUGGAUCCGCGCUGCAUUAGCUAGUUGGUAAGGUAACGGCUUACCAAGGCAACGAUGCAUAGCCGACCUGAGAGGGUGAUCGGCCACACUGGAACUGAGACACGGUCCAGACUCCUACGAGAGGCAGCAGUAGGGAAUCGUCCGCAAUGGGCGAAAGCCUGACGGAGCAACGCCGCGUGAGUGAUGAAGGUCUUCGGAUCGUAAAACUCUGUUAUUAGGGAAGAACAUAUGUGUAAGUAACUGUGCACAUCUUGACGGUACCUAAUCAGAAAGCCACGGCUAACUACGUG